ACGGGAUCACGCCACAAGGGAAGCAGGCAUGCUGUCAAAAAAGUGUACAUCUAAGAAGAGAACUUCAAAUACCUUGCUGAAUUAGCCAAGAAAAAGCAGCAGAAGGAAGUGAUGAUAUUGGACUAUUCUAAGAAAAGAGGACCAAGCAAAAACCUUUAUAAAUCUGAUGAAGAGAAUAUCAGUGAAGUACAAAAGCCUCCCUCUGAGCAAAUUAUGGAUGAAAAGGAGCUGAAACGUGCUAGGUAUGAUGUCUUCAAACUGGGGAUGAGUGGCUUUCACAAAGAAAAGAAAGAAGAACACAAGAGUUGCUCUUGCCAUAAAAUUAGGAGCUAAGCCACCCAAGAAUAAGGCUGUAAGUUACAAGGAUCUCCUUAAAAUGAAGAAGGAAGAAAAACAAAAGAAAUUGGAUGAGUUGGACACACAGAAGAGGUUGGGCUUGAAGGUAUGACAGAUGUACAGUUAACAUUGUAGCUGUUAUUAUUAAUGAAUGUUUAUUAGAUAACAUGUUUUUAGUAUAGGUCUUAGUAGUGUAAUAAUUUUUGACUAUGCAAUUCCAUUAAAUAUGUUCAAAAGAAGCAAAAAAAAUCCAGUUAAAUGGUAAUGAAAUCUGAAAAUUUUCCAGGUUCAAUUUUUACCUUUUUUUUUUAUUUGUUUUGAUACAUAUUUUUCCUAUUGAAGGGGAGUGCCAGAAAAGCCAUAAACAUAUUUAAAUUCUUUUGCCUACAUAUGCCCUUAAAGCAUAUGUACUCUUCAGCUUUUUUUCAUUGAAGACAUGAUGUGACAUAUAGCCCAUUUAGCAGUUUUUCUUUAACCUCAUUAUUCAUUUAUAUCAUUCUCUUUGCAUGCUCAAAUUACCACCUAGUUUCAUUAAUAUUUUUUCUGCACUUUGAUUUUGAAGAUCACUGAAUAAAAUACAACCACUCUAAUUUCACAUUUCUUUCAGUCACUUUUGGGCAUUUCUAUCAAUUUUACCUCAGUACGACUCCCUCACUUUCUAUUUUCUUUUAGUUGUGGAGCUGUGUUUUCUUUCAGUAGCUGAUCUUGGGUUUUUCUAUUAUUGUUAGCCCAAGAUUCUAAAGCAUUGUCCCUCCCCAGACUGAGGUUGAAAUACACAGAUUAACUUUAAUUUUCUGUUUGUCUACAUGUGGGAUUCCUCAUUUCAAUAUUGCUUAGGUAUAUGUAUAUAUCUGCAUAAUAGUUAUUAUAUAGCUAUAAGAUAUAGCUCUCAUAGCUAUAAGAUAUAGCUCUCAUAGCUAUAAGAUAUAGCUCUCAUAGCUAUAAGAUAUAGCUCUAAUAGCUGUUUAAUAUUCAGGGUGUUCAGAAACAAGAUGAAACCCAUAGAUUUUGAAUGUUUAUUAGUAAAUUACAAAAAUUAUUGAAUGUGUUGGCCAUGAAAGGUUUUCA
Cherax quadricarinatus is the source of this 1404-nucleotide non-coding RNA. NCBI's taxonomy places the organism in Eukaryota, Metazoa, Arthropoda, Malacostraca, Decapoda, Parastacidae. The record is from RefSeq and is a predicted model, not a curated record.